This 234-nucleotide ribosomal RNA is filed under the name uncultured Lactobacillus sp. Its description in RNAcentral is "partial 16S ribosomal RNA". It matches the Rfam family "Bacterial small subunit ribosomal RNA", at positions 128 to 355 of the family's 1533-position model. Lineage: Bacteria; Bacillati; Bacillota; Bacilli; Lactobacillales; Lactobacillaceae. The record is from RNAcentral.
GCCCAAGAGAUCGGGAUAACACCUGGAAACAGAUGCUAAUACCGGAUAACAACAGAUGAUGCCUAUCAACUGUUUAAAAGAUGGUUCUGCUAUCACUCUUGGAUGGACCUGCGGUGCAUUAGCUAGUUGGUAGGGUAACGGCCUACCAAGGCGAUGAUGCAUAGCCGAGCUGAGAGACUGAUCGGCCACAUUGGGACUGAGACACGGCCCAAACUCCUACGGGAGGCAGCAGCC